GAUGAACGCUGGCGGCGUGCCUAACACAUGCAAGUCGAACGGGAAUCUUCGGAUUCUAGUGGCGGACGGGUGAGUAACGCGUAAGAAUCUAACUUCAGGACGGGGACAACAGUUGGAAACGACUGCUAAUACCCGAUAUGCCGCAAGGUGAAACCUAAUUGGCCUGGAGAAGAGCUUGCGUCUGAUCAGCUAGUUGGUGGGGUAAGAGCCUACCAAGGCGACGAUCAGUAGCUGGUCUGAGAGGAUGAGCAGCCACACUGGGACUGAGACACGGCCCAGACUCCUACGGGAGGCAGCAGUGGGGGAAUUUUCCGCAAUGGGCGAAAGCCUGACGGAGCAACGCCGCGUGAGGGAGGAAGGUCUUUGGAUUGUAAACCUCUUUUCUCAAGGAAGAAGUUCUGACGGUACUUGAGGAAUCAGCCUCGGCUAACUCCGUGCCAGCAGCCGCGGUAAU
This 454-nucleotide ribosomal RNA is filed under the name uncultured cyanobacterium. RNAcentral describes it as "bacterial SSU rRNA". It matches the Rfam family "Bacterial small subunit ribosomal RNA", at positions 28 to 524 of the family's 1533-position model. Lineage: Bacteria; Bacillati; Cyanobacteriota. The record is from RNAcentral.